UAUUUUGAUUAGAGAUAGUUUCACUUUGUCGGUCAGGCUGGUGUCGAACUCCUGACCUCAAACGAUCUACCUGCCUCAGCCUCCAAAAGUGCUGGGAUUACAGGAGUGAGCUCCUGCGCCUGGACAACCUGCACAUUUUGAAAAGCUGAGGAUACAUCCUCAGCAAGGAGGGGUGCUCCUUCCCUGCUGGCCUGGCCACGCCCCAGACUGGACAGGCCCCUUCCGGCUCUUCCCAGGCACCCAAGUGGCCCCACGCCUCCUCCUGCCUGGUGUCAGUUUAGUGAGAAUCUCACUUCUUCCCCAAAACUUUCUCUUCCAACUCGUUUUUUCAUUUUUCUUUUUCUUCCUGAGACAGUGUCUGGUUCUGUUACCCAGGCUGGAGUGUAGUGGUAUGAUCACAGCUCACUGCAGCCUCAAUUUCCUAGGCUCAAGCAGUUCCUCCCACCUCAGCCUCCCGAGUACCAGGGGCUACAGAUGUGUGCCACAAAGGCCAGCUAAUUAAAAAAAAAUUGGAGGGCCGGGUGCAGUGGCUCACACCUGUAAUUCCAGCACUUUGGGAGGCUAAGGCAGGUGGAUCAUGAGGUUAGGAAUUCAAGGCCAGCCUGGUCAAGAUGAUGAAACCUCAUCUCUACUAGAAAUACAAAAAUUAACUGGGUGUGUUGGUGCAUGCCUGUAAUCCCAGGUACUUGGGAAGCUGAGGCAGAGAAACGCUUGAACACUGGAGGCAGAGGUUGUAGUGAGCCAAGAUCGCGCCACUGCGCUCCAGCCUCAGUGACAGAGCAAGACUCCGUCUCAAAAAAAAAAAAAAAAAAAAGCCAGGCGUGGUGGCUCACUCCUGUAAUCCCAGCACUUUGGGAGGCCGAGGCGGGUGGAUCACAAGGUUAAAAGAUCGAGACCAUCCUGGUCAACAUGGUGAAACCCUGUCUCUACUAAAAAUACAAAAAAAUGGCCAGGGGCGGUGGCUCAAGCCUGUAAUCCCAGCACUUUGGGAGGCCGAGGUGGGUAGAUCACAAGGUCAAGAGAUCAAGACCAUCCUGGUCAACAUGGUGAAACCCCAUCUCUACUAAAAAUACAAAAAAAUUAGCUGGGCAUGGUGGCGCGUGCCUGUAAUCCCAGCUACUCAGGAGUCUGAGGCAGGAGAAUUGCCUGAACCCAGGAGGCGGAGGUUGCAGUGAGCCGAGAUCAUGCCAUCGCACUCCAGCCUGGGUAACAAGAACGAAACUCCGUCUCAAAAAAUAUAUAUAUAUUCGCUCCACUGCACUCCAGCCUGGGCGACAGAGUGAGAUUCCGUCUCAAAAAAAGUUUUUAUUCUUUUUGUAGAGAUGGGGAUCUCUCUCUGUUGCCCAGGCUGGCCUCAAUCUUCCUGCCUCAGUCUCCCAAAGUGUUGGGAUUACAGGCGUGAGCCACUGCACCUAGCCUCUGGUUUCCCCAUGUAGGGCCGGAUCAUUCUUUGUGCAGGCAGCUACCUUGUGCAUCUGGGAUGUUGAGUAGUAGCAUGAUCUCAACCUAGUCCCAAUGAAAGAUGUCUCCAGAUGUUGCCAAAUGUUGGGAUGGGGUGGGGCUCAGCCUUGCCACCUGCCUCAGCUGUCCUACCUAUCCACACGCAUGCCAACCUGCAAAGUAACUUGGAGUGUGUGUUUUCUUUCUUUUUUUUUUUUUCUGAUACAAGGUCUUGUUUUCUACCAGGCUGGAGUAUAGUGCUGCCAUCUCAGCUCACUACAACCCCCGCCUCCCAGGUUCAAGUGAUUCUCCUGCCUCAGCUUCCCGAGUAACUGGGAUUACAGGCGUGCACCACAUGCCCAGCUAAUUUUUGUAUUUUUAGUAGAGAUGGAGUUUCACCAUGUUGGUCAGGCUGGUCUCGAACUCCUGAACUCAGGUGAUCCACCCGCCUUGGCCUCCCAAAGUGCUGGGAUUACAGGUGUGAGCCACUGCGCCUGGCCUGUCUUUUCUAAUCUUGGGCCUGGUUUGAGUCCUUGAACCUACAGUAGUGGAGGUGAUCUGUGGGUUCCAGAAUCUUGGGGAGGGACUGGUGACACUCUAACAGGACCCCUUGCACUGUCCCUCUGCCUGGAGAAGGGGUGCCAGCCUCCCAUUUCCUGAUGGGUGGGGAGCCUGAGGUGGGUGGAGCCAGGCUGCCUUGUUUCUACUUCUUGGUUCCCAGGGGUGGGUGGUGGCAGUGGUGCCCCUGGAGCCAGAGGGCAUGGGGUGCCCCGACCCUGCCUCCACAUUUGCUGGAUGGUUGCUGGGGUGUGUGCUCCAAGACCUAUGGCCCCUGUGGGCAUGGAGGAGAAACCAGAGACUCAAGCAGAUCUCCCUGCCUGCCUUCCGGCCUCACGUCCCACUCCGCCUUGGCUCUAGGCCAGGGGCUGCCGGAGUGGUGACUCAGAGGAGUGAGAAGGGGAGAGAAACAAAAUGCAGGGUGGGGUGGAGGUCCUCUUCAAUUCUCCAAUCUCCACCAUCCCAGCGUCCCCAGCAAAGCCAGGACCCUUGAGGUCACAUCUCAAAACCGGCCACACUGCCCUCCUGCUGCUGCUCCUCCUCUUUUCCCCUCCCUCCCUCGGUGGGGUUUUUUUUUUUCUCCUGGAACCAUGCUAGGGCAGGAAAGCGGAAAUGAGUGUGGGGCGUGGAAUGUCUCUGAGGUUGGAAUAUAUUUAGGCCAUGAGGAGAGUGUGUGUGUGUGCGCGGUGCUGGCCAGGGCCUGGCGCCAGCCCGGCGGGCUCAAGGAGUGAAGCUGGGGGGCCCUGAGCUGGUGUGGGGAGGCUUCUGCCUUCUCCUUUUUCUUGAGAUGGAGUCUUGCUCUGUUGCCCAGGCUGGAGUGUACAGUGGUGCAGUCUUGGCUCACUGCAACCUCUGCCUCUGGAGUUCAAGAGAUUCUCCUGCCUCAGCCUCCCAAGUAGCUGGGAUUACAGGCACCUGCCACCACGCCUAGCUAAUUUUUGUAUUUUCAGUAGAGAUGAGGUUUCACCAUGUUGGCCAAGCUAGUCUUGAACUCCUGACUUUGUGAUCUGCCCCGCCUCACCCUCCCAAAGAGCUGUGCUGGGAUUACAGCAGAAUUGAGUCAUUCAACAGACUGUCUGGCCCUCGAAGCUGAAAAUAUUUACUGUCUGGCCCAUUGGAGAAGAAGCUUGUGGACCCCUCUUCUAAGGGGCCUGAGACCCUCGCAUCAAUCUGUCCCUGUUUCAGAUGGUCCCAGGAUCACUUCUUCAUUGGACGGUAAAGAGGUGGCGCUGUCAGCCUGCCUCUCGACUUGCGCGGACGUCAACCUCAGAUCAACCAAGGGCCCCUGGAUCCUGGAGUUCCUGACACUACCUCGAACAAGGCCCUGGACCUAAGUGUUCUCCUCUGCAAUGGCUGCCCCCGUCUGCUUGUGCUGACCUGGCCUUCAGGAGGUGCUCAGCUGACCCUGGGAUGAGAUCUUUCUGCGUCACCCAGGCUGCAGUGCAGUGGCUAUCCACAGUUGUGAUCAUAGCUGGUCUUGACCUCCUGGGCUCAAGGGAUCCUCCUGCCUCAGCCUCUUGAAGAGCUGGAACUGCAGACAGGGUUUUGCUCUGUUGCCCGGGCUGGAGUGCAGUGGCGCGAUCUCGGCUUGUUCAACCUCCACCUCCCAGAAAUGGGGGUCUUUCUAUGUUGCCCAGGCUGGUCUCCCACUCCUGGCCUCAAGUGAUCCUCCCGUCUUGGCCUCCCAAAUAGCUGGGACUACAGAUGGGGAAGUCAGAACGGAAGCACGUGGAGCAUUACAUGCACCCCCAGGAGCAAAAAGCUAAAAGCCAGUGAUAAAACAAGACCUCAGUCCUACCAGCCACAAGGACAUGAAUUCUGCCCACACCUGAAUGAACUUGGAAGUAGAUUCUCCCCCCAGUUCUCCAGAGAGAAGCCCAGCUUGGCUGACACCUUGAUUUCAGCCUCAGGAUGAUAUCAGCAACCCCCACCGCGGCCUCCUCCUGGUUUCUCAUCCGCACUGUGGCCAGAGGGAACCUGUUCAAAUGGCUGUGCGGAUCAGAGCCAUGAGGGUGGAAUUGAAGUGGACGGUGUUGUCAUCUGCCACGGGCAGGUCCAUCCGCAGAAGCCUCUACAGAAAACCCAAGGUGAGGGCAGUCAUUCCUGGGCAUCCCUCCUGGGUCUCCCGUGAGCCACGCCCACCCCUACCCAGGGAGUCCCAGGAAGAACUCUGAAGGCGGGCAGCGGCUGAGGCGGCCCCUACUUAGGUUACCUGUCCCAGUACUCAAUUUCUCUUGGUGGCCUGUAGGGAGGGGACAAGGGCUCUCCUACACCUCUGGUCCCCUGCCCUCCCCUUUUUCCCACUAUGUGCUUGACCUGAGAACUGGUAUUUCCAGAGUUGGCCUCAGUCGUUCCCUGCCUCGUUCCGCCCCAGAGUUCUUCUGGACCGCCCCGUGUCGGUCUGAUCCCAAAGAAAAAGAGCACAAGCUGGAUUUGAGCAGCACGUGCAACAGCCAAGGCUGAGGGGGCCGGGACCACAGCCGCCGGUGGGGGCACCGCUGGCUCCCCACCCCCACCUCCCGGCUUGGCCCAGACCAGGACAGACCAGAUGGGCACAGACCACAUCAUUCCUCUGAGAAGCAGCAGGCAGGCAGCCCCCCACUGAUGGGGCAGGCCCCUCGCAGGCAUGCAGCGAGGCUGUGACACAGAACAGCACAGACAGGGCGCAUGCAGACGGAAUCUCGAGACUCAUUCAUAGCUCCGUGGGAAGUGUAUCUCAGGGACUUGUCCGGAUCUUGGCUCUCUGUGCAAUGGCAGGGGGAAGGGAGGAGGGGCAUUCCUGUGGCCCAGGGAAGAAAAGAUUCCCCAUGUCCCAGGCAGGGGUUCUGUCCGCCGUGCUGGGUGGCAUGGGAGAGGAUGCUGGGCUGGUGUGCACCAGCCCAGGCUGAGGUGGCACAGAGAAGAGGGGUGAGGUUGAGUUGGGUGGGGAUUCGGACACACGUGGGCAGGAAACACAGAACUAGAGAUGGGGAGAGGAAUGGUAAGCCCAGAGCAGGACACUAGAGGAGACACUGGGGCAGGGUGGGGAAGGAGCUGGGAAACGGAGAAACACAGACUGAGCCUCUGUGCACAGUUGUGCAGGCUGUGCACUGCACAAAGUGCUUCCAUCUUGGAAAUGAUAGAUUUAUGUACUUAUUAUUUUUUUCUUUUUGUAGAGAUGGGGUCUUGCUAUGUUGCCCAGGCUAGUCUCGAACUGGGCUCAAGUGAUCCUCCCAUCUCAGACUCCCCAAAACACUAGGAUUACAGGCACGAGCCAUGAUGCCUGGCCUCCAAUUUGUGCAUUAAAUACAACAGCUUCCCAGCUAAGAGCAAAGUGUCUUGUUCUCGCCACAUUGGUGGACUGCAACAAUUUUCCAAAGGACACGUUUUGUAGAAAGGGUGCCUUUUUCAAAUUUGCCCCGAGCUGUCUGAUGGACCCAUGGUGGGCCUGCACCAAGACGAGGAGGGGAAGGGCUCUUCCUCCCUCCUGCAUAUGCACACACAUUCAACUACGCAGACACUGAGAGAAGUGACUUGAGGAAAACUGGGGAGGGGAGCGACAGGUGCGGGGAGAGGCUCCUUGUCUGAGACGCUGGUGGGCCAACCUUGUCCCCGGCUUUGACUGAGAAGUGAGGGGAGACAUAGAGGUUAGGUGAGGAGUGGUGCACAGAGGAAGGAAAGAAAGGAGCUUGUGGGGAGGCGGCGACAUGGGGCGGGCACAGAUAGCACUGAUGAUGGGGACGCAGGGAAGGUCAAGGUGGACGGGAGAAUAGGUUGAUAGGGUAGUAUUUUUUGGGUGGGAAGAAUCUUUAAAGGUCAUCCCGGAACUUCUCGUGGAUGAGUGGAGGAAACAGAGCAUCUGUCCUUGGGCGCCAAGGGAGAUUCCAGGACAGGGAUCUGGAGGGGUGGCCCGGCGCAGCCGCUUGGCGGCAGGACGCUCGUUUGCUCAGCCAGCAUGCACCACCCCCCGUCGGCCAUGGUGCCUGCCCGCCCCGGGCCCCGCCAAGGCAGCGUGCAUGGCCUGCAUCAGUGUGCCACCGUCCAGGGGUCCAGCUGCGGCCGCCUGCCCACUCUAGAACAAUGGAGAGGCAUGUUGGGGUGUCUUGGGCAGAUUAGGGAUGGGGGCUGGGGACGAAACUCCAUGGGAGGGAAGGGAGGGGAAGAGAGGUUCCUGGUGCUCCUUGGAAGGUCUCUAAUCCCCCAAGGCCCUAGGUCAGAGAUCAGCUUCAGGUGUGCGUGGCAGGGGUGGGGAGCUGGGGGCUCGAGGCACAAAAGAUGGGCCUGGGACCUUGCCUGCUCUUGGGGGCUUAAGCCCCUCUCUGCAAGGCGCCUGCCCCGGCCUGGGCAUGGGAGGGCGGGAGACGUGGGUUUUGACUCCCUGAAGAAGUGUGUUUGUUUCCAAUUUGGUACCUGGGAGACCAGGUGCAAGGGGACCUGGGCGCUCCCCUCCCCCUCCCCCCGGCGUGUCGGCCAUAAUGGAGUCUCAGAACACGAAGACACUCAUCAGAAAGGACGGACACAGUGUGCUGCUUGGAAUCGAGGGAUGGUCAUGAUCAGUUCACUCAAGAAAAGAAAAAAAAAGAAUCAAAAACAAGAAGAGAAACGCUGGAAAAAGAGAGUCGGCUGGGUGUUUCUGGUCAGCACUAAAAAAAAAGAAAAAGGAAAAAAAAAAAACCCAGCGCCUGGACGUCGGUGGUCGGCA
Non-coding RNA from Callithrix jacchus (white-tufted-ear marmoset), 6679 nucleotides. Lineage: Eukaryota; Metazoa; Chordata; Mammalia; Primates; Cebidae. The record is from RefSeq and is a predicted model, not a curated record.